RNAcentral lists this unclassified non-coding RNA (253 nucleotides) under uncultured delta proteobacterium. RNAcentral describes it as "contains 16S-23S intergenic spacer region". It matches the Rfam family "Bacterial small subunit ribosomal RNA", at positions 524 to 776 of the family's 1533-position model. Lineage: Bacteria; Deltaproteobacteria. The record is from RNAcentral.
UACGGGGAGUGCAAGCGUUGUUCGGAAUCAUUGGGCGUAAGGCGCGUGUAGGCGGCCUGGUAAGUUCGGUGUGAAAGCCCUCGGCUCAACCGAGGAAGUGCAUCGAAUACUGUCAGGCUUGAGUGCGGGAGGGGAGAGCGGAAUUCCCAGUGUAGAGGUGAAAUUCGUAGAUAUUGGGAGGAACACCAGUAGCGAAGGCGGCUCUCUGGACCGACACUGACGCUGAGACGCGAAAGCGUGGGUAGCAAACAGG